RNAcentral lists this ribosomal RNA (460 nucleotides) under uncultured bacterium. RNAcentral describes it as "partial 16S ribosomal RNA". It matches the Rfam family "Bacterial small subunit ribosomal RNA", at positions 338 to 795 of the family's 1533-position model. The record is from RNAcentral.
CCUACGGGAGGCAGCAGUGAGGAAUAUUGGUCAAUGGACGAGAGUCUGAACCAGCCAAGUAGCGUGAAGGAUGACUGCCCUAUGGGUUGUAAACUUCUUUUAUAAAGGAAUUAACAGAGGCACGUGUGCCUUUUUGCACGUACUUUAUGAAUAAGGAUCGGCUAAAGCCGUGCCAGCAGCCGCGGUAAUACGGAGGGUGCGAGCGUUAUCCGGAUUUAUUGGGUUUAAAGGGAGCGUAGAUGGGUUGUUAAGUCAGUUGUGAAAGUUUGCGGCUCAACCGUAAAAUUGCAAUUGAUACUGGCAGUCUUGAAUACAGUUGAGGUAGGCGGAAUUCGUGGUGUAGCAGUGAAAUGCUUAGAUAUCACGAAGAACCCCGAUUGCGAAGGCAGCUUACUAAACUGUGACUGACAUUGAUGCUCGAAAGUGUGGGUAUCAAACAGGAUUAGAUACCCUAGUAGUC